AGGAGGGCGUCAUGCCUGAGGCAUUUAUUUACGAUCAUGUCCGCACGCCGCGCGGCAAAGGCAAAUCCGACGGCUCUCUGCAUGAGGUCACGGCGCUGGCGCUGGCGACCGCGCCGCUGAAGGCGCUCAAGGAGCGCAACAAUCUCCAGGAAGAUACCGUCGACGACGUGAUCCUCGGCGUGGUCGAUCCGGUCGGCGAGGCCGGCGGCGACAUCGCGCGCUGGUCUCGGCGAGGCGGGUCCGGGGAUCCAGAUCAGCCGCUUCUGUGCCUCCGGUCUCGACGCCGUCAACUUCGCGGCCGCACAGGUCAUGUCCGGGCAGCACGAACUGACCAUCGGCGGCGGCGCGGAAUCCAUGAGCCGCGUCGGCAUUCUUUCGUCGGGCACGGCCUGGCCGGUAGACCCCUCGAUGGCGGUGCCGAGUUACUUCAUGCCGCAGGGCGUGGCGGCGGAUCUGAUCGCCACCAAGUACGGCUUCUCCCGCGAUGACGUCG
Molecule: unclassified non-coding RNA, 493 nt
Filed under: Hevea brasiliensis (rubber tree)
Lineage: Eukaryota; Viridiplantae; Streptophyta; Magnoliopsida; Malpighiales; Euphorbiaceae
Source: RNAcentral